This is a long non-coding RNA of Helianthus annuus (common sunflower), 357 nucleotides long. RefSeq lists it as uncharacterized. The transcript has 2 exons. The record is from RefSeq and is a predicted model, not a curated record. Lineage: Eukaryota; Viridiplantae; Streptophyta; Magnoliopsida; Asterales; Asteraceae.
GGCACAAAAAGAAGGCCUUACACGGUGUGCCCCAAAUGCAGUCAAUCUAUACCUGAAGUUGCACUGAAUGGUUUUGCUCGCGUAGCGGGCAGCAGGGGAAAGCAAACAUAAUAUUAAGAUCCACCAUCGAAAAGACCAGGUAAAGGCGGGCUGGUGGAGUAAAGCUCGAUUUGCUAGAGACGUGUAACCAAAUAUAAAUUAUAGGUACGUUAUUGUGGUAAAAUUAGAGCUAUCUAACCAAAUAUUUUAGCUAUUACAUUAUUUGUCUCAUUGUAGUUUACUAAUUUAUUAUUACUUCAACGGUUAUUUAAUUCAAACGAUUACUUCAAUAAAUUAAACUUAUUCAUUUGUGUUUUA